CUAUGCGCCUUGCCAGCCCGCUCAGGUGUGCCAGCAGCCGCGGUAAUACGUAGGUGGCAAGCGUUGUCCGGAUUUACUGGGUGUAAAGGGCGUGCAGCCGGAGAGACAAGUCAGAUGUGAAAUCCGGGGGCUCAACCCCGAACUGCAUUUGAAACUGUUUUUCUUGAGUACUGGAGAGGCAGACGGAAUUCCUUGUGUAGCGGUGAAAUGCGUAGAUAUAAGGAGGAACACCAGUGGCGAAGGCGGUCUGCUGGACAGCAACUGACGGUGAGGCGCGAAAGCGUGGGGAGCAAACAGG
This 298-nucleotide ribosomal RNA is filed under the name uncultured bacterium. RNAcentral describes it as "partial 16S ribosomal RNA". It matches the Rfam family "Bacterial small subunit ribosomal RNA", at positions 475 to 776 of the family's 1533-position model. The record is from RNAcentral.